RNAcentral lists this ribosomal RNA (253 nucleotides) under uncultured bacterium. RNAcentral's name for it is "partial 16S ribosomal RNA". It matches the Rfam family "Bacterial small subunit ribosomal RNA", at positions 524 to 776 of the family's 1533-position model. The record is from RNAcentral.
UACGUAGGGGGCAAGCGUUGUCCGGAUUUAUUGGGCGUAAAGAGCGUGUAGGCGGCUUGGUAGGUCCGCUGUGAAAACUCGAGGCUCAACCUCGAGAUGUCGGCGGAAACCACUUGGCUAGAGUCCGGAAGAGGAGAAUGGAAUUCCUGGUGUAGCGGUGAAAUGCGCAGAUAUCAGGAAGAACACCUAUGGCGAAGGCAGCUCUCUGGGACGGUACUGACGCUGAGACGCGAAAGCGUGGGGAGCGAACAGG